CUAGUACAACAAUUUAUGGCUGUGUUGAAGUUCCUUUGUUGCCUGGAGUACGGUUCGGGAGCAGCACCCGAAGCGGAACGGGUCAUCAAGAGGCCAGUGGCCUGCUACAUGGGGCCAGAUUAUGGUCUUGGCAUAGGACAUCAUGAGCGUUUCUUC
Rhipicephalus microplus (southern cattle tick) is the source of this 156-nucleotide long non-coding RNA. NCBI's taxonomy places the organism in Eukaryota, Metazoa, Arthropoda, Arachnida, Ixodida, Ixodidae. The record is from RefSeq and is a predicted model, not a curated record.